This 253-nucleotide ribosomal RNA is filed under the name Comamonadaceae bacterium. Its description in RNAcentral is "partial 16S ribosomal RNA". It matches the Rfam family "Bacterial small subunit ribosomal RNA", at positions 524 to 776 of the family's 1533-position model. Lineage: Bacteria; Pseudomonadati; Pseudomonadota; Betaproteobacteria; Burkholderiales; Comamonadaceae. The record is from RNAcentral. RNAcentral also lists the same sequence under 2 other names.
UACGUAGGGUGCAAGCGUUAAUCGGAAUUACUGGGCGUAAAGCGUGCGCAGGCGGUUAUGCAAGACAGAGGUGAAAUCCCCGGGCUCAACCUGGGAACUGCCUUUGUGACUGCAUAGCUAGAGUACGGUAGAGGGGGAUGGAAUUCCGCGUGUAGCAGUGAAAUGCGUAGAUAUGCGGAGGAACACCGAUGGCGAAGGCAAUCCCCUGGACCUGUACUGACGCUCAUGCACGAAAGCGUGGGGAGCAAACAGG